GUUACGUUAACAUACCAGACACGUACUCAGUUCGUUGUCUAUGCGUCAUGUAUGUAUGCUGAAUGUGUUACGUUAGCAUACCGUAACCCUAUUCAGCCUGUUGUUCUCUAAUCCAUUAUUAUUUUAAAUUGCCUUUCAAGAUGAAAUUGUCUGUUCUUGAUCUCGGAUUUUAUCAAAUAAAUUUCCCCCAGAAAUGCGACUUAUAGUCCAGUGCGACUUAUAUAUGUUUUUUUCUUCUUUAUUAUACAUUUUUUGGCUGGUGCGACUUAUACUCUGGAGCGACUUAUAGUCAGAAAAAUACAGUAUAUGCAUCCUGACAAUGUAG
Sphaeramia orbicularis (orbiculate cardinalfish) is the source of this 325-nucleotide long non-coding RNA. RefSeq lists it as uncharacterized. The transcript is spliced from 3 exons. The record is from RefSeq and is a predicted model, not a curated record. NCBI's taxonomy places the organism in Eukaryota, Metazoa, Chordata, Actinopteri, Kurtiformes, Apogonidae.